UAAAUGACUCUCGGCAACGGAUAUCUCGGCUCACGCAUCGAUGAAGAACGUAGCAAAAUGCGAUACUUGGUGUGAAUUGCAGAAUCCCGUGAACCAUCGAGUUUUUGAACGCAAGUUGCGCCCGAAGCCAUUUGGUUAAGGGCACGUCUGCUUGGGCGUCACGC
This 164-nucleotide ribosomal RNA is filed under the name Hilliardiella aristata. Its description in RNAcentral is "5.8S ribosomal RNA". It matches the Rfam family "5.8S ribosomal RNA". Rfam says of the family: 5.8S ribosomal RNA (5.8S rRNA) is a component of the large subunit of the eukaryotic ribosome. It is transcribed by RNA polymerase I as part of the 45S precursor that also contains 18S and 28S rRNA. Functionally, it is thought that 5.8S rRNA may be involved in ribosome translocation. The record is from RNAcentral. RNAcentral also lists the same sequence under 3 other names. Lineage: Eukaryota; Viridiplantae; Streptophyta; Magnoliopsida; Asterales; Asteraceae.